Molecule: long non-coding RNA, 289 nt
Filed under: Pan troglodytes (chimpanzee)
Lineage: Eukaryota; Metazoa; Chordata; Mammalia; Primates; Hominidae
Description: long non-coding RNA NONPTRT013043
Source: RNAcentral
CUUUGGGCAAGUUAUUUAACCUCUCUAUGCCUCAACUUCUUCAUGUAAAAUGGCAGUAAUAAUAAUACGAAUGCCACAGAGCUGUGGAUGAAAUGAGCCCAUUCCGGUCUGGCUUCUUUAACCAGGAAGAUGUGAGCUGAGAGCUGUGGAGUAGAUGUCUUCACCAGAUGAGUACACAGAGAAGUAGAGAAUGUGUAUCUGCAGAGUAGGAUGAAGCAGAGACAAGGUGGGAUGGGAGAGAGACAGGGGCUGCAGGACAACCCUACCAUCAAUACACCCAACAGUCGCC